RNAcentral lists this ribosomal RNA (274 nucleotides) under uncultured bacterium. RNAcentral describes it as "partial 16S ribosomal RNA". It matches the Rfam family "Bacterial small subunit ribosomal RNA", at positions 523 to 796 of the family's 1533-position model. The record is from RNAcentral.
AUACGGAGGGGGCUAGCGUUGUUCGGAAUUACUGGGCGUAAAGCGCGCGUAGGCGGAUUGGUUAGUUGGGGGUGAAAUCCCAGGGCUCAACCCUGGAACUGCCCUCAAUACUGCCAGUCUAGAGAUCGAGAGAGGUGAGUGGAAUUCCUAGUGUAGAGGUGAAAUUCGUAGAUAUUAGGAAGAACACCAGUGGCGAAGGCGGCUCACUGGCUCGAUACUGACGCUGAGGCGCGAAAGCGUGGGGAGCAAACAGGAUUAGAAACCCUAGUAGUCC